Molecule: ribosomal RNA, 253 nt
Filed under: uncultured bacterium
Lineage: Bacteria
Description: partial 16S ribosomal RNA
Rfam family: Bacterial small subunit ribosomal RNA
Source: RNAcentral
CACGUAGGGUGCGAGCGUUAAUCGGAAUUACUGGGCGUAAAGGGUGCGCAGGCGGUUUUGUAAGUCAGCUGUGAAAUCCCCGGGCUUAACCUGGGAAUGGCAUUUGGGACUGCAAAGCUCGAGUGCGGCAGAGGAGACUGGAAUUCCUGGUGUAGCAGUGAAAUGCGUAGAUAUCAGGAGGAACACCGAUGGCGAAGGCAGGUCUCUGGGCUGACACUGACGCUCAUGCACGAAAGCGUGGGGAGCAAACAGG